CUACUACUCCCUCCGUCUGAAAAUAAUUGUCAUCAAAAUGAAUAAAGAGAGAUGUAUCUUGAACUAAAAUACGUCUAGAUACAUCAUCUUUUAUCCAUUUUGAUGAUAAGUAUUUUCGGCCGGAGGGAGUAUUAA
Triticum urartu is the source of this 135-nucleotide non-coding RNA. The record is from Rfam. NCBI's taxonomy places the organism in Eukaryota, Viridiplantae, Streptophyta, Magnoliopsida, Poales, Poaceae.